UACACUCCUGCGGGAGGCAGCAGUGGGGAAUUUUGGACAAUGGGCGAAAGCCUGAUCCAGCAAUGCCGCGUGAGUGAAGAAGGCCUUCGGGUUGUAAAGCUCUUUUGUCAGGGAAGAAACGGUGAAAGCUAAUAUCUUUUGCUAAUGACGGUACCUGAAGAAUAAGCACCGGCUAACUACGUGCCAGCAGCCGCGGUAAUACGUAGGGUGCAAGCGUUAAUCGGAAUUACUGGGCGUAAAGCGUGCGCAGGCGGUUUUGUAAGUCUGAUGUGAAAUCCCCGGGCUCAACCUGGGAAUUGCAUUGGAGACUGCAAGGCUAGAAUCUGGCAGAGGGGGGUAGAAUUCCACGUGUAGCAGUGAAAUGCGUAGAUAUGUGGAGGAACACCGAUGGCGAAGGCAGCCCCCUGGGUCAAGAUUGACGCUCAUGCACGAAAGCGUGGGGAGCAAACAGGAUUAGAAACCCUGGUAGUCCC
This 473-nucleotide ribosomal RNA is filed under the name uncultured organism. RNAcentral describes it as "partial 16S ribosomal RNA". It matches the Rfam family "Bacterial small subunit ribosomal RNA", at positions 332 to 797 of the family's 1533-position model. The record is from RNAcentral.